This 468-nucleotide ribosomal RNA is filed under the name uncultured bacterium. Its description in RNAcentral is "partial 16S ribosomal RNA". It matches the Rfam family "Bacterial small subunit ribosomal RNA", at positions 28 to 507 of the family's 1533-position model. The record is from RNAcentral.
GACGAACGCUGGCGGCGUGCUUAACACAUGCAAGUCGAACGGAAAGGCCCUGCUUUUGUGGGGUGCUCGAGUGGCGAACGGGUGAGUAACACGUGAGUAACCUGCCCUUGACUUUGGGAUAACUUCAGGAAACUGGGGCUAAUACCGGAUAGGAGCUCCUGCUGCAUGGUGGGGGGUGGAAAGUUUCGGCGGUUGGGGAUGGACUCGCGGCUUAUCAGCUUGUUGGUGGGGUAGUGGCUUACCAAGGCUUUGACGGGUAGCCGGCCUGAGAGGGUGACCGGCCACAUUGGGACUGAGCUACGGCCCAGACUCCUACGGGAGGCAGGAGUGGGGAAUGUUGCACAAUGGGCGGAAGCCUGAUGCAGCAACGCCGCGUGCGGGAUGACGGCCUUCGGGUUGUAAACCGCUUUCGCCUGUGACGAAGCGUGAGUGACGGUAAUGGGUAAAGAAGCACCGGCUAACUACGUG